CAAGGGAUCCUUAGUACGGCGAGUGAGCGGUAAAAGCUCAAAUUUGAAAUCUGGUACUUUCAGUGCCCGAGUUGUAAUUUGUAGAAUUUGUCUUUGAUUAGGUCCUUGUCUAUGUUCCUUGGAACAGGACGUCAUAGAGGGUGAGAAUCCCGUUUGGCGAGGAUACCUUUUCUCUGUAAGACUUUUUCGAAGAGUCGAGUUGUUUGGGAAUGCAGCUCAAAGUGGGUGGUAAAUUCCAUCUAAAGCUAAAUAUUGGCGAGAGACCGAUAGCGAACAAGUACAGUGAUGGAAAGAUGAAAAGAACUUUGAAAAGAGAGUGAAAAAGUACGUGAAAUUGUUGAAAGGGAAGGGCAUUUGAUCAGACAUGGUGUUUUUUGCAUGCACUCGCCUCUCGUGGGCUUGGGCCUCUCAAAAAUUUCACUGGGCCAACAUCAAUUCUGGCAGCAGGAUAAAUCAUUAAGAAUGUAGCUACUCCGAGGUACUUUUGGAAACCGGUACCCGGAUGAGCCGCCCUCCGCCAGGNUGGCUAUGGUAAAUGCCCCCCCUACCGACCAA
RNAcentral lists this ribosomal RNA (555 nucleotides) under Hanseniaspora meyeri. Its description in RNAcentral is "eukaryotic LSU rRNA". It matches the Rfam family "Eukaryotic large subunit ribosomal RNA", at positions 66 to 663 of the family's 3401-position model. The record is from RNAcentral. Lineage: Eukaryota; Fungi; Ascomycota; Saccharomycetes; Saccharomycodales; Saccharomycodaceae.